RNAcentral lists this ribosomal RNA (429 nucleotides) under Chloroflexota bacterium. RNAcentral describes it as "Chloroflexi bacterium partial 16S ribosomal RNA". It matches the Rfam family "Bacterial small subunit ribosomal RNA", at positions 355 to 776 of the family's 1533-position model. Lineage: Bacteria; Bacillati; Chloroflexota. The record is from RNAcentral.
UGGGGAAUAUUCCACAAUGGGCGCAAGCCUGAUGCAGCCAUGCCGCGUGUGUGAAGAAGGCCUUCGGGUUGUAAAGCACUUUCAGCGGGGAGGAAGGCGAUAAGGUUAAUAACCUUGUCGAUUGACGUUACCCGCAGAAGAAGCACCGGCUAACUCCGUGCCAGCAGCCGCGGUAAUACGGAGGGUGCAAGCGUUAAUCGGAAUUACUGGGCGUAAAGCGCACGCAGGCGGUCUGUCAAGUCGGAUGUGAAAUCCCCGGGCUUAACCUGGGAACUGCAUUCGAAACUGGCAGGCUAGAGUCUUGUAGAGGGGGGUAGAAUUCCAGGUGUAGCGGUGAAAUGCGUAGAGAUCUGGAGGAAUACCGGUGGCGAAGGCGGCCCCCUGGACAAAGACUGACGCUCAGGUGCGAAAGCGUGGGGAGCAAACAGG